UGAAUUCACUACUGUAAGUCACUCUGGAUAAGAGCGUCUGCUAAAUGACUGAAA
This is a non-coding RNA of Salmo salar (Atlantic salmon), 54 nucleotides long. The record is from Rfam. Lineage: Eukaryota; Metazoa; Chordata; Actinopteri; Salmoniformes; Salmonidae.